UACGUAGGGUGCGAGCGUUAAUCGGAAUUACUGGGCGUAAAGCGUGCGCAGGCGGUUCGUUGUGUCUGCUGUGAAAUCCCCGGGCUCAACCUGGGAAUGGCAGUGGAAACUGGCGAGCUUGAGUGUGGCAGAGGGGGGUGGAAUUCCGCGUGUAGCAGUGAAAUGCGCAGAUAUCAGGAGGAACACCGGUGGCGAAGGCGGGUCUCUGGGCCGAUACUGACGCUGAGGAGCGAAAGCGUGGGGAGCGAACAGG
This 253-nucleotide ribosomal RNA is filed under the name uncultured bacterium. RNAcentral describes it as "partial 16S ribosomal RNA". It matches the Rfam family "Bacterial small subunit ribosomal RNA", at positions 524 to 776 of the family's 1533-position model. The record is from RNAcentral.